This 69-nucleotide transfer RNA is filed under the name Pelates quadrilineatus (fourlined terapon). RNAcentral describes it as "tRNA-Arg". It matches the Rfam family "tRNA". From Rfam's summary of the family: Transfer RNA (tRNA) molecules are approximately 80 nucleotides in length. The record is from RNAcentral. Lineage: Eukaryota; Metazoa; Chordata; Actinopteri; Centrarchiformes; Terapontidae.
AAGCAGGUAGUUUAAAUAAAACGUUUGGUUUCGGCCCAAGGGUCUGUGGUGUAAAUCCAUACUUGCUUG